This 64-nucleotide transfer RNA is filed under the name Scolytinae sp. BMNH 1274712. Its description in RNAcentral is "tRNA-Arg". The record is from RNAcentral. Lineage: Eukaryota; Metazoa; Arthropoda; Insecta; Coleoptera; Curculionidae.
AAAUAAGAAACAAAUAUUUGUAUUUAGUUUCGACCUAAAAUUUAGACUAUUAAGUCCUUAUUUU